RNAcentral lists this transfer RNA (72 nucleotides) under Actinoallomurus bryophytorum. RNAcentral describes it as "tRNA-Trp". It matches the Rfam family "tRNA". From Rfam's summary of the family: Transfer RNA (tRNA) molecules are approximately 80 nucleotides in length. Their secondary structure includes four short double-helical elements and three loops (D, anti-codon, and T loops). Further hydrogen bonds mediate the characteristic L-shaped molecular structure. tRNAs have two regions of fundamental functional importance: the anti-codon, which is responsible for specific mRNA codon recognition, and the 3' end, to which the tRNAs corresponding amino acid is attached (by aminoacyl-tRNA synthetases). tRNAs cope with the degeneracy of the genetic code in two manners: having more than one tRNA (with a specific anti-codon) for a particular amino acid; and 'wobble' base-pairing, i.e. permitting non-standard base-pairing at the 3rd anti-codon position. Lineage: Bacteria; Bacillati; Actinomycetota; Actinomycetes; Streptosporangiales; Thermomonosporaceae. The record is from RNAcentral.
AUGGGUGAGCCAGCGGAUAGGCGACCGGUUUCCAAGUCCGGCGGAAUGCGGGUUCGACUCCUGCCGCCCAUG